AUUGAACGCUGGCGGAAUGCUUUACACAUGCAAGUCGAACGGCAGCACGGGGGCAACCCUGGUGGCGAGUGGCGAACGGGUGAGUAAUACAUCGGAACGUGCCCAGUCGUGGGGGAUAACGCAGCGAAAGCUGUGCUAAUACCGCAUACGAUCUAAGGAUGAAAGCGGGGGACCGAAAGGCCUCGCGCGAUUGGAGCGGCCGAUGGCAGAUUAGGUAGUUGGUGGGGUAAAGGCNCACCAAGCCGACGAUCUGUAGCUGGUCUGAGAGGACGACCAGCCACACUGGGACUGAGACACGGCCCAGACUCCUACGGGAGGCAGCAGUGGGGAAUUUUGGACAAUGGGCGCAAGCCUGAUCCAGCCAUUCCGCGUGCAGGAUGAAGGCCCUCGGGUUGUAAACUGCUUUUGUACGG
RNAcentral lists this ribosomal RNA (413 nucleotides) under uncultured bacterium. Its description in RNAcentral is "bacterial SSU rRNA". It matches the Rfam family "Bacterial small subunit ribosomal RNA", at positions 29 to 443 of the family's 1533-position model. The record is from RNAcentral.